Brassica napus (rape) is the source of this 1330-nucleotide RNA transcript. RefSeq lists it as uncharacterized. Lineage: Eukaryota; Viridiplantae; Streptophyta; Magnoliopsida; Brassicales; Brassicaceae. The record is from RefSeq and is a predicted model, not a curated record. The transcript is spliced from 6 exons.
ACACAUCACAUUCAACUUUUGUUUUGGUCUGUACUCUGUACUAUGUAGAGAUUCUUCUUUUUUAUCUUAGAUUUGAUUCAUUGUUUUAAGACGAAUCAGAUAUGUGAUCUUGUUGUGUUGUGUUCUGUUGUUACUUUGUGUGGUCACCAUUAGCCAACACACACAAAGAUACUUAUUAAAGUAAAUAAACUCGUCCUGUCUCAUAAUCAAUCUCACACUUGAAGCCAAACAAACAAACAAUGGUAUCUUCUUCUCUUUCCUUUCAUUCCAUCGCCCCCAUCUACUCCGGAGAUGCUCUCCGUUCAACCUUCCGCCGCAACCGCCGCCAGUUUUUCUCAACUGGAGUGAGUUGCAGAGGACAGAGUCCUCCAACCAACGAGCCACAGACAACAACAAGUAAAGGAAGAGCUGAACCGGAGAAUGUUCUGCUCAAAAUCGCUUGGUACGGCUCAGAGCUACUCGGAAUCGCCGCCUCCGCUUUCAGAUCUCCGGCGUCUCCUCCUCCUCCUACUACGACUGAGCAAGACUAUGAGAUUCCUGUUGAUUGUUCGGGACGAGCCGUUCGUGUAGCGGUCGUGGACUCGAUCAAACACGACUUCAAGCGGUCGUAUUUCGUCACAGGGGACUUAACGCCGGCGGUGUACGAGGAGAAGUGUGAGUUCGCUGAUCCAGCUGGCUCCUUCAAGGGACUUGCUCGUUUCAAAAGGAACUGCACUAACUUCGGAUCUUUGAUUGAGAAAUCGAACAUGAAGCUAAUGAAAUGGGAGAACUUCGAGGAGAAAGGAGUUGGGCAUUGGAAGUUUAGCUGUGUCAUGUCGUUUCCAUGGAAACCCAUUCUCUCAGCAACUGGUUACACUGAGUAUUACUUCGAUACAGAAUCCGGAAAAAUAUGCAGACAUGUGGAGCAUUGGAAUGUCCCUAAGAUUGCUUUGUUCAAGCAACUACUUAGACCUAGCCGUGGACUAAUGGGGACGACACAAAACUAGCAGUGAAUGAUGAUGAAUGUUGAAGUCACUUUUUUUUGGAUUCCACUUUUAAAAACAGCUUAAGGCAAAGGUUGUGAUAUGAGUUGGUUCACAAGAGGGUUUAGCCAUCUCAUCCAUUAGUUUCAAGCACUGUCUCAAGCUGGUUCUUGUCCUUAAGAAUAUUAAAGAAAGCAUUGAGAGUGUUGUAACACCUCAUAAAUUACACCAACGUUUUGGUUACAUAUCUUAAUAGCUCUACUUGGGUCUGUUGCAUCAAAACGUAGGAUCAAUGUAAACACCAUUUAUACAUAUCUUAACCAUUUGUUACACAUCUCACAAUGGAAUAAGAUUAGUUCAAUCAGUAA